GUGAGGAGGGCCCGGCGAUCCCUAGAGUUACGAAAGAAGGGCGGAGCCGAGUCGUUAUGGACCUCACGGCGCGUGCGCAGUGGCUUAGACCAGGCCGUUGGGAGGGUGGACCCGAGCCUUCUGGACAAGAUGCAAUUUGAAGAUAAAUGGAUUCCAACGUAGGCUCAAGACUGCAAGCUCUUUAGGAAUUCCUCUACAGCCAGAUUAUCACUGUUGAGACAUCCAGCCUUGCGGACUGAACAACUACUGGAUCCUUGGCCUUUUCCAUCAGGAGACAGCCAUUGUUGGAUUUCCCAGACCACAGCCUGUUAGCCAGUCUGAUAAAUCCCAUAC
Molecule: non-coding RNA, 333 nt
Organism: Peromyscus maniculatus bairdii (prairie deer mouse)
Lineage: Eukaryota; Metazoa; Chordata; Mammalia; Rodentia; Cricetidae
Source: RefSeq, a predicted model, not a curated record